AUUGAACGCUGGCGGCAGGCCUAACACAUGCAAGUCGAGCGGAUGAAGGGAGCUUGCUCCUGGAUCCAGCGGCGGACGGGUGAGUAAUGCCUAGGAAUCUGCCUGGUAGUGGGGGAUAACGUCCGGAAACGGGCGCUAAUACCGCAUACGUCCUGAGGGAGAAAGUGGGGGAUCGUCGGACCUCACGCUAUCAGAUGAGCCUAGGUCGGAUUAGCUAGUUGGUGGGGUAAAGGCCUACCAAGGCGACGAUCCGUAACUGGUCUGAGAGGAUGAUCAGUCACACGGGAACUGAGACACGGUCCAGAGUCCUACGGGAGGCAGCAGUGGGGAAUAUUGGACAGUGGGCGAAAGCCUGAUCCAGCCAUGCCGCGUCUGUGAAGAAGGUCUUCGGUUUGUAAAGCACGUUAAGUUGGGAGGAAGGGCAGUAAGUUAAUACCUUGCUGUUGUGACGUUACCAACAGAAUAAGCACCGGCUAACUUCGUG
RNAcentral lists this ribosomal RNA (484 nucleotides) under uncultured bacterium. Its description in RNAcentral is "partial 16S ribosomal RNA". It matches the Rfam family "Bacterial small subunit ribosomal RNA", at positions 30 to 507 of the family's 1533-position model. The record is from RNAcentral.